RNAcentral lists this ribosomal RNA (499 nucleotides) under uncultured Prevotella sp. Its description in RNAcentral is "partial 16S ribosomal RNA". The record is from RNAcentral. Lineage: Bacteria; Pseudomonadati; Bacteroidota; Bacteroidia; Bacteroidales; Prevotellaceae.
CACGGAAUUAGCCGGUCCUUAUUCAUACGAUACAUGCAAUAACGCACACGUGCAUCAAUUUAUUCUCGUAUAAAAGCAGUUUACAACCCAUAGGGCCGUCUUCCUGCACGCUACUUGGCUGGUUCAGGCUUGCGCCCAUUGACCAAUAUUCCUCACUGCUGCCUCCCGUAGGAGUUUGGACCGUGUCUCAGUUCCAAUGUGGGGGACCUUCCUCUCAGAACCCCUACUGAUCGUUGCCUUGGUGAGCCGUUACCUCACCAACAAGCUAAUCAGACGCAUCCCCAUCCUUUACCGAUAAAUCUUUAUUCAUAUCUGAUGCCAUCAACGAAUUACAUCGGGUAUUAGGCCGUCUUUCAACGGGGUAUCCCCAAGUAAAGGGCAGGUUGGAUACGCGAUACUCACCCGUGCGCCGGUCGACGUCCAAAAUGUGCAAGCACAUAAUGCCGUUUCCCCUCGACUUGCAUGUGUUAAGCCUAUAGCUAGCGUUCAUCCUGAGCCA